GACGAACGCUGGCGGCGUGCUUAACACAUGCAAGUCGAACGGAAAGGCCCUGCUUUUGUGGGGUGCUCGAGUGGCGAACGGGUGAGUAACACGUGAGUAACCUGCCCUUGACUUUGGGAUAACUUCAGGAAACUGGGGCUAAUACCGGAUAGGAGCUCCUGCUGCAUGGUGGGGGUUGGAAAGUUUCGGCGGUUGGGGAUGGACGCGCGGCUUAUCAGCUUGUUGGUGGGGUAGUGGCUUACCAAGGCUUUGACGGGUAGCCGGCCUGGGAGGGUGACCGGCGACAUUGGGACUGAGAUACGGCCCAGAGUCCUACGGGAGGCAGUAGUGGGGAAUAUUGCACAAUGGGCGGAAGCCUGAUGCAGCAACGCCGCGUGCGGGAUGACGGCCUUCGGGUUGUAAACCGCUUUCGCCUGUGACGAAGCGUGAGUGACGGUAAUGGGUAAAGAAGCACCGGCUAACUACGUG
Molecule: ribosomal RNA, 468 nt
Filed under: uncultured bacterium
Lineage: Bacteria
Description: partial 16S ribosomal RNA
Rfam family: Bacterial small subunit ribosomal RNA
Source: RNAcentral